GAACGCACAUUGCGCCCCUUGGUAUUCCGGGGGGCAUGCCUGUUCGAGCGUCAUUUCAACCCUCAAGCUCAGCUUGGUAUUGGGCCUCCGCCGGGCGACCGGCGGGCCUUAAAGUCAGUGGCGGCGCCGUUGGGUCCUGAACGUAGUAACAUACACCUCGUUACAGGGUCCCCGCGAGCUUCUGCCAUUAAACCCCCCACUUUCUAUGGUUGACCUCGGAUCAGGUAGGGAUACCCGCUGAACUUAAG
RNAcentral lists this unclassified non-coding RNA (248 nucleotides) under uncultured Rutstroemiaceae. RNAcentral describes it as "sequence contains 5.8S rRNA gene". The stretch from base 1 to 53 matches the Rfam family "5.8S ribosomal RNA", at positions 102 to 154 of the family's 154-position model. Lineage: Eukaryota; Fungi; Ascomycota; Leotiomycetes; Helotiales; Rutstroemiaceae. The record is from RNAcentral.